UGAGUAAACUGGAUGAUCGCGGCUACAAGAUGAAAAUCUGUAGAUGAGGAAAGUCCGGGCUUCAUAGGGUAAGGGCGCCGGGCAAUUCCCGGUGAGGGCGACCUUAAGGAAAGUGCAACAGAAAAUAUACCGCCAAGUAAAUUGGUAAGGGUGGAAUGGUGAGGUAAGAGCUCACCGGCAAUUUGGUAACAAAUUGGCCGUGUAAACCCCGUCUGAAGCAACAUCGUGGAGAAACUAUAUUGUACCCGCAAGGUUUCGAGGAGAUGGCUUGAAUCUAAAUGAGAGUUUAGAUCUAGAUAGAUGAUCAUUCUAGACAGAACCCGGCUUACAGGUUUAGUCAGAUC
This 344-nucleotide RNase P RNA is filed under the name Clostridiaceae bacterium. RNAcentral describes it as "RNase P RNA component class A". It matches the Rfam family "Bacterial RNase P class A". From Rfam's summary of the family: Ribonuclease P (RNase P) is a ubiquitous endoribonuclease, found in archaea, bacteria and eukarya as well as chloroplasts and mitochondria. Its best characterised activity is the generation of mature 5'-ends of tRNAs by cleaving the 5'-leader elements of precursor-tRNAs. Lineage: Bacteria; Bacillati; Bacillota; Clostridia; Eubacteriales; Clostridiaceae. The record is from RNAcentral.